Long non-coding RNA from Limulus polyphemus (Atlantic horseshoe crab), 212 nucleotides. RefSeq lists it as uncharacterized. Lineage: Eukaryota; Metazoa; Arthropoda; Merostomata; Xiphosura; Limulidae. The record is from RefSeq and is a predicted model, not a curated record. The transcript has 3 exons.
UCUCUUGGAAUUUUUAGUAUAAAUUUCAGUGACUGCCUGUACGUAAUAAUUGGUGAGGUUAUUAAUUUGAUUGAAAGUUCAAAAAUGGCUGGUAAGAAUAUAGGUAAGAAGACUGCUGUUAAACAGCCACCUAAGCAGGCGGAAGUUAAGAAACCUAAUCAAAAGAAAAACGAAGCUGAGAAUGAAAGUACAACGAAGAAAGGAGAAAAAGG